Molecule: ribosomal RNA, 253 nt
Filed under: uncultured bacterium
Lineage: Bacteria
Description: partial 16S ribosomal RNA
Rfam family: Bacterial small subunit ribosomal RNA
Source: RNAcentral
GACGGAGGAUGCAAGCGUUAUCCGGAAUGAUUGGGCGUAAAGCGUCCGCAGGUGGCAGUUCAAGUCUGCUGUCAAAGACCGGGGCUUAACUUCGGAAAGGCAGUGGAAACUGAACAGCUAGAGUAUGGUAGGGGCAGAGGGAAUUCCUGGUGUAGCGGUGAAAUGCGUAGAGAUCAGGAGGAACACCGGUGGCGAAGGCAGCUCGCUGGGACGUGACUGACGCUGAGACGCGAAAGCGUGGGGAGCAAACAGG